Molecule: small nuclear RNA, 104 nt
Filed under: Heterocephalus glaber (naked mole-rat)
Lineage: Eukaryota; Metazoa; Chordata; Mammalia; Rodentia; Bathyergidae
Source: RNAcentral
GUGCUCACUUUGGCAGCACAUGCACUAAAACUGGAAUGAUACAGAGAUUAGCAUGGCCGCCGCGCAAGGGUGACACGCAAAUUUGUGAAGCGUUCUAUAUUUUU